Molecule: transfer RNA, 66 nt
Filed under: Platydracus impotens
Lineage: Eukaryota; Metazoa; Arthropoda; Insecta; Coleoptera; Staphylinidae
Description: tRNA-Arg
Source: RNAcentral
AAAUAAGAAACAAAAACUUGUAUUUAGUUUCGACCUAAAAUUUUGGUGCAGCACCACCCUUAUUUA